AGGCGCGUAGCACAAUUGGCAGUGCACCGGACUCCAAAUCCGGAGGUUGGGGGUUCGAUUCCCUCCGCGCCUGCCA
This 76-nucleotide transfer RNA is filed under the name Deltaproteobacteria bacterium. RNAcentral's name for it is "tRNA-Trp". It matches the Rfam family "tRNA". From Rfam's summary of the family: Transfer RNA (tRNA) molecules are approximately 80 nucleotides in length. Their secondary structure includes four short double-helical elements and three loops (D, anti-codon, and T loops). Further hydrogen bonds mediate the characteristic L-shaped molecular structure. tRNAs have two regions of fundamental functional importance: the anti-codon, which is responsible for specific mRNA codon recognition, and the 3' end, to which the tRNAs corresponding amino acid is attached (by aminoacyl-tRNA synthetases). tRNAs cope with the degeneracy of the genetic code in two manners: having more than one tRNA (with a specific anti-codon) for a particular amino acid; and 'wobble' base-pairing, i.e. permitting non-standard base-pairing at the 3rd anti-codon position. Lineage: Bacteria; Pseudomonadati; Myxococcota; Myxococcia. The record is from RNAcentral.